RNAcentral lists this ribosomal RNA (799 nucleotides) under uncultured bacterium. Its description in RNAcentral is "bacterial SSU rRNA". It matches the Rfam family "Bacterial small subunit ribosomal RNA", at positions 66 to 854 of the family's 1533-position model. The record is from RNAcentral.
ACGGUAACAGGGACUUCGGUCCGCUGACGAGUGGCGCACGGGUGAGUAACGCGUGGGUUACCUGCCCAUAAGUGGGGAACAACUUGGAGAAAUCCAAGCUAAUACCGCAUAAUACCUUCGGGUUAAAGAGGGGGAUCUUCGGACCUCUCGCUUAUGGAUGGUCCCGCGUCUGAUUAGCUAGUUGGUAGGGUAAUGGCCUACCAAGGCAAUGAUCAGUAGCUGGUCUGAGAGGAUGAUCAGUCACACUGGAACUGAGACACGGUCCAGACUCCUACGGGAGGCAGCAGUGGGGAAUUUUGCACAAUGGGCGAAAGCCUGAUGCAGCGACGCCGCGUGCGGGAAGAAGGCCUUCGGGUUGUAAACCGCUUUCAACAGGGAAGAAGGAAUGAGAGCUAAUACCUCUCUGCCUUGACGGUACCUGUAGAAGAAGCACCGGCUAAUUUCGUGCCAGCAGCCGCGGUAAUACGAAAGGUGCAAGCGUUGUUCGGAUUUACUGGGCGUAAAGAGAUCGUAGGUGGCUUGUUAAGUCGGAUGUGAAAUCCCGGGGCUCAACCCCGGAACUGCAUCCGAUACUGGCAGGCUUGAGUUUGGGAGGGGUAAGCGGAAUUCCCGUGUGUAGCAGUGAAAUGCGUAGAUAUACGGAGGAACACCUGAGGCGAAGGCGGCUUACUGGACCAAUACUGACACUGAUGAUCGAAAGCGUGGGUAGCAAACAGGAUUAGAUACCCCUGGUAGUCCACGCCCUAAACGAUGUCAACUAGCCGGUUGCGGGGUAUCGACCCCUGCAGUGGCGCAGCUA